This 615-nucleotide ribosomal RNA is filed under the name uncultured bacterium. RNAcentral describes it as "bacterial SSU rRNA". It matches the Rfam family "Bacterial small subunit ribosomal RNA", at positions 241 to 856 of the family's 1533-position model. The record is from RNAcentral.
UUAGGCAGUUGGUGUGGUAACGGCUCACCAAACCUACGAUGGAUAGGGGUUCUGAGAGGAAGGUCCCCCACACUGGAACUGAGACACGGUCCAGACUCCUACGGGAGGCAGCAGUGAGGAAUAUUGGUCAAUGGGCGCGAGCCUGAACCAGCCACGUCGCGUGAAGGAUGACGGCCUUAUGGGUUGUAAACUUCUUUUACAGGGGAAUAAAGUGAGUCACGUGUGAUUUUUUGCAUGUACCCUGUGAAUAAGCAUCGGCUAACUCCGUGCCAGCAGCCGCGGUAAUACGGAGGAUGCGAGCGUUAUCCGGAUUUAUUGGGUUUAAAGGGUGCGUAGGCGGGAUAUUAAGUCAGCGGUGAAAGUUUUCGGCUUAACCUUAAAAUUGCCGUUGAAACUGUUAUUCUUGAGUGCAGUAGAGGUAGGCGGAAUUCGUUGUGUAGCGGUGAAAUGCGUAGAUAUAACGAGGAACUCCGAUUGCGUAGGCAGCUUACUAUAUUGCUACUGACGCUGAGGCACGAAAGUGUGGGUAUCAAACAGGAUUAGAUACCCUGGUAGUCCACACAGUAAACGAUGAAUACUAGCUGUUUGCGAUAUAUUGUAAGCGGCCGAGCGAAA